Molecule: long non-coding RNA, 491 nt
Filed under: Carassius auratus (goldfish)
Lineage: Eukaryota; Metazoa; Chordata; Actinopteri; Cypriniformes; Cyprinidae
Description: lncRNA (ENSCARG00000046347.1)
Source: RNAcentral
CCCAUUGUUUAUGUUGUUUUUCCUCAGGGCCCACCUGGACCUCCAGGUUUGAGCGGUGAGCCGGGUGAGAACGGACAUAGGGGUAAAAAAGGUGAAGCAGGAUUGCCAGGAGCUGAUGGUCUUCCAGGACCCCCUGGCCCUCAGGGGCCUCCUGGUCCUCCAGGCAACCCUGGACACACAGGACCUCCAGUAAGUUUACAUUUUUCAACUGUUUUUAUUUGCAAACUGAUCUAGAGCCGCAUCAUAGUAGCAGAUGAUAUUCACACAUCUGUCUGUUCUCACAGGGAUUACCUGGUGAAAGAGGCUUCUCGGGAAAAUCAGGAGAAGCAGGAAAACCAGUGAGACCUCAAGCACAAAUCAUCUGUUGCCCUAUUAACUCAACCCUCAGUUCAGUGUAAAAAAACAAUGAUGCUAAUUCUUUUUCAGGGCCUGCCAGGAAAAGAUGGAUUGGAUGGUUUGCCUGGAAACGACGGCGAGAAGGUUAGAGCUGU